RNAcentral lists this ribosomal RNA (253 nucleotides) under uncultured bacterium. RNAcentral describes it as "partial 16S ribosomal RNA". It matches the Rfam family "Bacterial small subunit ribosomal RNA", at positions 524 to 776 of the family's 1533-position model. The record is from RNAcentral.
UACGAGGGGGGCAAGCGUUGUUCGGAAUUAUUGGGCGUAAAGGGCGCGUAGGCGGUGCGGUAAGUCACCUGUGAAAACUCUGGGCUCAACUCAGAGCCUGCAGGCGAAACUGCCGUGCUUGAGUGUGGGAGAGGUGCGUGGAAUUCCCGGUGUAGCGGUGAAAUGCGUAGAUAUCAGGAGGAACACCGAUUGCGAAGGCAGCUCGCUGGGACGUCACUGACGCUGAGACGCGAAAGCGUGGGGAGCAAACAGG